RNAcentral lists this small RNA (51 nucleotides) under Plasmodium falciparum 3D7. Its description in RNAcentral is "Pfa-starR7480". The record is from RNAcentral. Lineage: Eukaryota; Apicomplexa; Aconoidasida; Haemosporida; Plasmodiidae.
AUAAAUGAGUUAUGUUGGACCUUAUUGUGCAUUGAAGUGCAACAUAUGACA